ACGCUGGCGGCAGGCCUAACACAUGCAAGUCGAGCGGCAGCACGGGUACUUGUACCUGGUGGCGAGCGGCGGACGGGUGAGUAAUGCCUAGGAAUCUGCCUGGUAGUGGGGGGUAACGCUCGGAAACGGACGCUAAUACCGCAUACGUCCUACGGGAGAAAGCAGGGGACCUUCGGGCCUUGCGCUAUCAGAUGAGCCUAGGUCGGAUUAGCUAGUUGGUGAGGUGAUGGCUCACCAAGGCGACGAUCCGUAACUGGUCUGAGAGGAUGAUCAGUCACACUGGAACUGAGACACGGUCCAGACUCCUACGGGAGGCAGCAGUGGGGAAUAUUGGACAAUGGGCGAAAGCCUGAUCCAGCCAUGCCGCGUGUGUGAAGAAGGUCUUCGGAUUGUAAAGCACUUUAAGUUGGGAGGAAGGGCAGUUACCUAAUACGUAUCUGUUUUGACGUUACCGACAGAAUAAGCACCGGCUAACUCUGUGCCAGCAGCCGCGGUAAUACAGAGGGUGCAAGCGUUAAUCGGAAUUACUGGGCGUAAAGCGCGCGUAGGUGGUUUGUUAAGUUGGAUGUGAAAUCCCCGGGCUCAACCUGGGAACUGCAUUCAAAACUGACAAGCUAGAGUAUGGUAGAGGGUGGUGGAAUUUCCUGUGUAGCGGUGAAAUGCGUAGAUAUAGGAAGGAACACCAGUGGCGAAGGCGACCACCUGGACUGAUACUGACACUGAGGUGCGAAAGCGUGGGGAGCAAAC
This 747-nucleotide ribosomal RNA is filed under the name uncultured bacterium. RNAcentral describes it as "bacterial SSU rRNA". It matches the Rfam family "Bacterial small subunit ribosomal RNA", at positions 33 to 773 of the family's 1533-position model. The record is from RNAcentral.